CUCAAGAUGGAUUAAAGAUUUAAACGUAAGACCCAAAACCAGAAAAAUCCUAGAAGAAAACCUAGGCAAUACCAUUCAGGACAUAAGCAUGGGCAAAGACUUCAUGACUAAAACACCAAAAGCAAUGGCAGCAAAAGCCAAAAUUGACAAAAGGUUUCCUUAACGACAACAAAAAAGGGAGUAAUCCUACCUACUGUAAGAGUCAUGACUCUUGAUUGCAGCUGACAGAAGCUCAUGACAGCCUGGUUUAGAUAAAAGGGGAAAGGACGACUGGAAGAAUCUUGGAGUUGGGAAUAUGGCACAUAAUUGAAGGAAGAGCAAUAAAACUAUAGCAGCUGCUCCCAACCCCAGCAACUUUGCUAUCUUAGAACGGAUCACCAGUGAAAGAGGGGAAGUUGCUACUGUGAUGAAUUCUGCCAUGUGGUACCAGACUGCUGCCCAGACCACAGUGUCCUCUGCAACCCUGGUAACUCACAUACAGGCCUGAUUCCACCUACAGCAAAGCUGGAUGCUAUGGUUGGCAGAGGCAAGCCCCUUGCCUGCACUUCAGGCCAAAGCCGGGAUGUGGCCUAGAUGGUUCCUAAGGUCCCUGACAGUCCUGAGAUCUUUCAUCUUGUCUAUUUCAGGUCAAAGGUGCCUACAUGUUCCUUCUAGCUUUGUUUCCCUGAUGUUCCUUGCCACCUGCUACUCCUCUCUGAGCUA
RNAcentral lists this long non-coding RNA (702 nucleotides) under Pongo abelii (Sumatran orangutan). RNAcentral describes it as "lincRNA". Lineage: Eukaryota; Metazoa; Chordata; Mammalia; Primates; Hominidae. The record is from RNAcentral.